RNAcentral lists this long non-coding RNA (238 nucleotides) under Setaria italica (foxtail millet). RNAcentral describes it as "long non-coding RNA (SITA_LNC002063)". Lineage: Eukaryota; Viridiplantae; Streptophyta; Magnoliopsida; Poales; Poaceae. The record is from RNAcentral.
UUUUUAAGAUUUUCGAGGGUAAAACAGUUAAAAAGCUGGAUUGACCCUAAGCCUGACUCUUUGACUCAACCUAAGGCUCGGGGGCUACUCCAUAUGGAGUACGAUUGACAUCGCACUACCAUAUAAAAACUCUCGGAACAGAAGCAACUCAAAGGAACAAGAAGAGUACCUUCCAGCCAUGCGACAGUACUUGGGCACUUCGGACACUGCAACCUCUACGACAAACUACUCGGAUAGU